Molecule: ribosomal RNA, 359 nt
Filed under: uncultured bacterium
Lineage: Bacteria
Description: partial 16S ribosomal RNA
Rfam family: Bacterial small subunit ribosomal RNA
Source: RNAcentral
CCUACGGGUGGCAGCAGUGGGGAAUAUUGGUCAAUGGGCGCGAGCCUGAACCAGCCAAGUCGCGUGAGGGAAGACGGUCCUAUGGAUUGUAAACCUCUUUUGUCGGGGAGCAAAAGACGCCACGCGUGGCGUUCCGAGAGUACCCGAAGAAAAAGCAUCGGCUAACUCGGUGCCAGCAGCCGCGGUAAUACGGAGGAGGCGAGCGUUAUCGGGAUUUAGGGGGUGUAAAGGGUGGGCGGGCGGAAGGUCAAGUCUGCGGUGAAAUUGGGAGGCGGAACUUAUUGGAGCAGUUGAAACUGGUUUUCGUGAGUGGGGGAGAGGGAGGGGGAAUGCGUGGUGGAGGGGUGAAAGGCGUAGAG